UGGCGCCAGGGGAAUCUAACCCGGGCCGCCCGCGUGGCAGGCGAGCAUUCCACCACUGAACCACC
RNAcentral lists this transfer RNA (65 nucleotides) under Cordylochernes scorpioides. Its description in RNAcentral is "tRNA-Gly". Lineage: Eukaryota; Metazoa; Arthropoda; Arachnida; Pseudoscorpiones; Chernetidae. The record is from RNAcentral.